GACGAACGCUGGCGGCGUGCUUAACACAUGCAAGUCGAACGGUAAGGCCCUUCGGGGUACACGAGUGGCGAACGGGUGAGUAACACGUGGGUGAUCUGCCCUGCACUUCGGGAUAAGCCUGGGAAACUGGGUCUAAUACCGGAUAGGACCCUGGGAUGCAUGUCCUGGGGUGGAAAGCUUUUGCGGUGUGGGAUGGGCCCGCGGCCUAUCAGCUUGUUGGUGGGGUGAUGGCCUACCAAGGCGACGACGGGUAGCCGGCCUGAGCGGGUGACCGGCCACACGGGGACUGAGAUACGGCCCAGACUCCUACGGGAGGCAGCAGAGGGGAAUAUUGCACAAUGGGCGCAAGCCUGAUGCAGCGACGCCGCGUGAGGGAUGACGGCCUUCGGGUUGUAAACCUCUUUCAGCACCGACGAAGCGCAAGUGACGGUAGGUGCAGAAGAAGGACCGGCCAACUACGUGCCAGCAGCCGCGGUAA
Molecule: ribosomal RNA, 478 nt
Filed under: uncultured bacterium
Lineage: Bacteria
Description: partial 16S ribosomal RNA
Rfam family: Bacterial small subunit ribosomal RNA
Source: RNAcentral